UUUCCGUAGGUGAACCUGCGGAAGGAUCAUUAUCGAAUUUCGAGGGGAAGGAAGAUGAGGAGUGGAGACUGUCGCUGGCUUCCCCGCCUGGGAAGCAUGUGCACGCCUUGCUUUUCGUUGACCUUUCUCUUACUCUCACACCUGUGCACCCAUUGUAGGUCCUCGAAAGAGGAUCUAUGUUUUUAUCAUCACACGCAUCGUAUGUCCAUAGAAUGUAACAUGAUCGUCGAUCGACCUCGCGGUCGGGUGGCGGUCUAAAUAAAUACAACUUUCAGCAACGGAUCUCUUGGCUCUC
Molecule: unclassified non-coding RNA, 295 nt
Filed under: plant metagenome
Description: partial contains small subunit ribosomal RNA, internal transcribed spacer 1, and 5.8S ribosomal RNA
Source: RNAcentral